RNAcentral lists this long non-coding RNA (339 nucleotides) under Homo sapiens (human). Its description in RNAcentral is "HSALNT0272930". The record is from RNAcentral. Lineage: Eukaryota; Metazoa; Chordata; Mammalia; Primates; Hominidae.
GGCAGGCUCUGGGAAUUGAAAUGAGUUUGAACCAUAUGAUUUCAAAUAGCAACAGUAUUUCACACCGUGAAGUGAUUUACGAUUUCCACAAGUUUCUUUUUUUUUUUUUUUAACUUGGCUAGGUGCGGUGGCUCAUGCUUAUAAUUCCAGCACUUUGGGAGGCUGAGGCAAGGACUGCUUGAGUCCAUGAGUUCGAGACCAGCCUGGGCAACAGAGCAAGACCUCGCCUCUACAUAAAUAAAUAAAUAAAUAAAUAAUAAUAGCCAAGUGUGGCGGCACACACCAGCUGAGGUGGGAGGAUCACUUGAAUUUGGGAGUUUGAGGCUGCAGUGAGGUGUG